GUGGGGAAUAUUGGACAAUGGACCGAGAGUCUGAUCCAGCAAUUCUGUGUGCACGAUGAAGUUUUUCGGAAUGUAAAGUGCUUUCAGUUGGGAAGAAAGAAAUGACGGUACCAACAGAAGAAGUGACGGCUAAAUACGUGCCAGCAGCCGCGGUAAUACGUAUGUCACGAGCGUUAUCCGGAUUUAUUGGGCGUAAAGCGCGUCUAGGUGGUUAUAUAAGUCUGAUGUGAAAAUGCAGGGCUCAACUCUGUAUUGCGUUGGAAACUGUAUAACUAGAGUACUGGAGAGGUAAGCGGAACUACAAGUGUAGAGGUGAAAUUCGUAGAUAUUUGUAGGAAUGCCGAUGGGGAAGCCAGCUUACUGGACAGAUACUGACGCUGAAGCGCGAAAGCGUGGGUAGCAAACAGGAUUAGAAACCCGUGUAGUCC
Molecule: ribosomal RNA, 428 nt
Filed under: uncultured bacterium
Lineage: Bacteria
Description: bacterial SSU rRNA
Rfam family: Bacterial small subunit ribosomal RNA
Source: RNAcentral